AGUCAGCUGGAAUCAGGCAGGACACAUCAUGGCCAUGGGGGACCACGCUCAGCUCUUGUGGCUGCUGCUGCUCUGGAUCACAACUGUAAUUUGUGACAUCCAGAUGACAGAAUCCCCAUCAUUCCUCUCUGCAUCUCUAGGAGACCAAGUUACCAUCAACUGCAGGGCCACUAAGAAUAUUAACAAGCAUUUAGCUUGGGUUCAACAGAAACCAGGGAAAUCUCCUAGGAUAUUAAUCCAUUUUGCAUCCAAUUUGCUAACUGGGGUUCCAGCAAAGUUCAGUGGGAGUGGAUCUGGUACAGAUUUUUCCCUCACUAUCAACAACCUGGAGUCUGAAGACAUUGCAACAUAUUACUGUCUACAGUAUUCUGAGCAUCCUCCCACAGUGAUACAAGUCAUAACAAAAACCCCCAGGGAAGCUAAAAUGUGAGGGUUACCCAGGGCGUGUUUUGUGAUUCUCUCACUGCUAAGAACAAUUACUGGAUGUAUUCAUACUUCAAAGUUGUUCAAAAUCAACAGCACAGAUGUUAUUCUGCCUCCUCUUGGAUUGUUUAAAGUCAGAAUUUACCUGCUAAUGAAAACAUGAACUACCAUCCUGAGACAUACCCCAAUAGCUCAAAGUGUAGGGGCUGAUGCCACAUCUGAAAUACCACAGUAGUAAUUUCACAGUCCUCACCCAAAUCCAUGCAUCUGUCUGUAUGAACUGGUUUGUUGGCAGCAGUAAGUUUGCUGCCUUAAUUUUAAAUGCCCUUUUUUGUUCUG
Peromyscus leucopus (white-footed mouse) is the source of this 762-nucleotide non-coding RNA. NCBI's taxonomy places the organism in Eukaryota, Metazoa, Chordata, Mammalia, Rodentia, Cricetidae. The record is from the annotation of a RefSeq genome assembly.